RNAcentral lists this long non-coding RNA (1696 nucleotides) under Sus scrofa (pig). Its description in RNAcentral is "lncRNA (ENSSSCG00055001531.1)". The record is from RNAcentral. Lineage: Eukaryota; Metazoa; Chordata; Mammalia; Artiodactyla; Suidae.
AUGAAGGCCGGGCGCCCAGCUCUGCCCUCGUCACCCCACCUCCAGGGAGGAAAUGUGGUUCCAGGCCCUCGCCGGCCUCCGUCUUCCCACCUGGACGGCAACUCUGAUCGGGCUGUUUGCACCUGCGAAAGGCCUCCCCGGAGACCAGCCCCUGGUCUGGCAGGGCCCCCGGCCUCCUUCCCACUGAAGUCGGCGUGGAGGUCGCUGGCCUCCAACGAUGAGCCCGCCCGAGCUUGGGGGGUCUGGGGAGGACCCGGCGCUUGGACCCCGUCUUCCAACAGAAGCCAGGGGACCGAGGAACCCGAAGCUCCUGCCCAACGGCUCAGUCGGCACGUCCCCGCCCUUCGAGAUCCAGCGUUUCCUUUUGUCGCCUCGUCAUGUGACGAAUGUCAUUCGAAACGCCCGUCAGUCCUCAGCGUUUAUCGCAAAAGCCACCCCCGCCUGGAUUCCCACCCCCGCCCCGGAAGCGAAGGUUGGCCGCGUUCAGCUUUUCGCCUGUCUUGGCCUUGCUUUGGUUUUGCGGGUUUGGCACUUGGCUCCCCGUUUCCAAAGGACCUGCCGUUGUGCUGUGCCCCUCAUCUCGUCAUCCUUCCCUCCAGGUGGCAGAGACGCAUCGAGCGCGCCCAGCGCCCCGUCCCCCAUAGAGGGAAGCCCCACUUUCCAUUCAACCUGACCCAACGUUCAUCCAUUAGUUAACGUAUGGACUAAAAGUUCUGAAUGAGGCUCACAGGUACAUCAGCUCCCCGCUGUGUCUCCGUCCUACUCUCUCCUCACCCCCAGGGCAGCCCCCGGGGUACGUUCUCCAGUCUCUUGUGUCUCCACCACCAGUUCCUCCCUGAGCUUUUCCGCAAAGCUGGGAGAACCCACCCUCCUGUUUUUCAUGGCGGGGGCGGGGGGGGGGGGGGGGGGGGGGNGGGGGGGGGGGGGGGGGGGGGGGGGGGGGGGCGGCUGGUCCAGCCCAGUUUUCUCUCUGGAUACAUCCAUCUGGACGGCGUUGUCUCACCCCUGCUCGCGGGGCUCCGUCUUCCCCUUUGAUGGCCCCGAUCCUGGUCCCACAUCUUCCGGCUUGUGGUUUUGAAACUGACAGCACUAAGGACUCAAACCCAGCCUAAACCCUGUUCGGGAGUUGAACCCACGGUUGUUAACAUAGAAUCCCUCACCCGGUGUCCGGACUUACGGAGGGUCAGCUUCUUUGUGUCCCAGCACAGAAGGAAAUCAAGUGAUAAGCAAGAAAUAGAUUUAUGAAGACAGGACGCUCGUGAGAGACGCCAGCGGGCAGGCAGGGGGCCUCUGCCCCGAGGGUCGGGUGGGCUCUGUUUCUAAUCCACCCGGAGUGGGGCUGGGGAAGGACCCCCGCUUCCUCCUUCGUCAAAGUGCUUUUUCCCUUCCGCAGAGGGCGGUCCUUCAACGCCUGCCCUUGGUGCUAAGGAUCUUCUUGGGGCUGAACUUGAACGCAGGCCUCAUUUUAAUGACCUGAGGCAUAGCUGGUGCUUUUAUUUGUGGUUUUGUUAAGCAAGCCGGCUUCUUUCUGAUGACUUUCUGGAGCGACCAUUAACCUCCGUGGUCUCCCGAAGCCCCCUAGGUUUCCCUGUCUCUCUGUGGUCCCCUCCUGGGACUUGCACAACUGCCCGUGUGACUGUCCUGCUCCAUGCCUGUCAGCUGUGUGCUCUCCUUUGCUGUUUGGCCUCCGGGAAGU